Molecule: transfer RNA, 77 nt
Filed under: Candidatus Babelota bacterium
Lineage: Bacteria
Also listed under: 1 other name
Description: Candidatus Dependentiae bacterium tRNA-Arg
Rfam family: tRNA
About the family: Transfer RNA (tRNA) molecules are approximately 80 nucleotides in length. Their secondary structure includes four short double-helical elements and three loops (D, anti-codon, and T loops).
Source: RNAcentral
GCGCUCGUAGCUCAGUUGGAUAGAGCAACGGAUUUCUAAUCCGUAGGUCGCAGGUUCGAAUCCUGCCGGGCGCACCA